This 451-nucleotide ribosomal RNA is filed under the name uncultured bacterium. Its description in RNAcentral is "bacterial SSU rRNA". It matches the Rfam family "Bacterial small subunit ribosomal RNA", at positions 355 to 796 of the family's 1533-position model. The record is from RNAcentral.
UUCGGAAUAUUCGGCAAUGGACGAAAGUCUGACCGAGCGACGCCGCGUGCGGGAUGAAGGCCCUAUGGGUUGUAAACCGCUUUCGCGAGUGAGCAAAUCACGAUCAGUGAACAACUGGUUGUGUUGAGUUAAGCUUGUAAAGAAGCCCCCGCUAAUCACGUGCCAGCAGCGGCGGUAAUACGUGAGGGGCGAACGUUGUUCGGUGUCACUGGGCUUAAAGGGUGCGUAGGUGGUUGCGUAAGUAAGGUGUGAAAUCCCUCGGCUUACCCGGGGAAUUGCAUCUUAUACUGCGUGGCUUGAGGUCUAAAGGGGAAAAGGGAACUCCAGGUGUAGCGGUGAAAUGCGCAGAUAUCUGGGGGAAGGCCGGCGGCGAAGGCGCUUUUCUGGUUAGUACCUGACACUGAGGCACGAAAGCGUGGGGAGCAAACAGGAUUAGAUACCCGGGUAGUCC